RNAcentral lists this ribosomal RNA (136 nucleotides) under uncultured bacterium. Its description in RNAcentral is "partial 16S ribosomal RNA". It matches the Rfam family "Bacterial small subunit ribosomal RNA", at positions 355 to 508 of the family's 1533-position model. The record is from RNAcentral.
UGGGGAAUAUUGGACAAUGGGCGAAAGCCUGAUCCAGCCAUGCCGCGUGAGUGAUGAAGGCCUUAGGGUUGUAAAGCUCUUUCAGUGGGGACGAUAAUGACGGUACCCACAGAAGAAGCCCCGGCUAACUUCGUGC